CCGCUAGAAUUCGACGUGAAAAAGAAAUAUCUGCCGGAAAAAAUCUAAUGGUUUCUUUUUUCAGAAAUGAAGUAUUUCACCCAAAAGUAAAUGAAGCUAUCACAUGUUCUCAGAAAUGAAGUAUUUCACCCAAUUUUCUACAACUAUUCUUCCAUCCAAGAUUGGAAGAAUAGUUUAUGAACAAAUCAUUCAAGAUGAUAUAUAUAAAAACAAAAGAAGAAUAACUAAAAUUCAAAAUUCAAAUAAACAAAAAAAUAUGAAACAGGCCAACACAAGACCUGGUCUUGAAUCAGAAUCAAAUAAAAAUUCAGAGACACAUAAAAAAACCAAAACAGGAAUAAAUAGAAAAUUAUUGGCUAUAACUGAAGAUAAUCAGGCCAAUAACAAUUCAGAUCAUGAUAGAAACUAUUCUGAAGAAAGAAUUCCAGAAAUAGAAGAAAUAAGUCAAAUAAAUGAAAAUAAUAAUUUUCAAGAAAAUAAAACAUCCUCUGAAGAUAGAAGAACAUUAGAAAGAGGAAAAUUCACUAAAAAAAAAACAAAAGAACUAACCCUAGACAAGAUAACCAAAACAGUCAAGAGACUGGUCCAGGGGAUACCUCAGGGAAAGACCAAGAAAGGACUGCCUCACCUGAUUUUGAAAAAAAUUCAGAAACAGUAGGAAACAUGCAUAAAAAUAGAUCAAACCAAAGUCAAAACAUUCAAAAUAACUCAAGAAAUCAGAAUUGUGAAAACAAUUCACAUUUGACAGGUCACAAACAUAAUAAGUCACAUAAUUUUGAGAAAAAUUCAGUGAUAGCAGGUAAUACUAAUAAUCUGCAUAAAAACAUACAAAACCAAGUCCAAAACUCUGAAAAUAACUCAAAAACUCAAGACUAUGAAAGCAAAUCAUCUUCCACAGGUCAUGGAUAUGAUAAAUCACAGAGUUUUGAGCAAAAUUCGACAAUAGCAGGCAAGAUUAAUAACCUGCAUAGAAAUAUACAAAGCAAAACUCAAAAUUCUGAAAAUAAUGCAGGUUUUGUAGGUCAUGAACAAAAUCAAUCAAAUGAUUCAAUGACUGUUUCAAAUAUUGAUAAAAAUAAUUCAGAAAUACUAGAAUGGAAUGGACUAGAGGUGAUGAUCCCAGUAUUAUCUCAGGGAUCCCAGUAUUAUCCAAAAAUUGGUGGUAUUGCAGAAGAUUAUUCAUGCCCUUAAUUAUCAAUUAAUCAUGCCCUUAAUUAUCAAUUGGACUAGAGGUGAUGAACUUACCUGGAAGAUGCUUGACGGCGGACAGGAGUGAACAAGAAGUUGUACGUUCGUCGGAAGAAUGGAGUGACCGAUGGUCCGAUGGAACUAGCCGCUGGUCGUCGCCGGACUGGAGUGUUUACUAGCCUCUGGUCGUCGCUCGCCGGUAUAGAUGCGCCGCUGGUUGCUCGUCAGAAAUCGAAGUAAGAAUCGCCGGAGAUGGGAGUGGGAGAAAAACAAGAUCGCCGGAGGGAAAUCGAUUUGGGUUUUGGGGGUUUUGGGGGGAAAUCGAUUUGGGGGAAAUAAUAUUAUUGGGAAAUUUAUAAUUUGGGAAAUAAUAUAUACUUAAUUUAAAUAAAUUUAUACUUUUGGGAAAUAACUAUAAAAUAAAAUUUAAAAUCUUUUGGGAAAUAACUUUAAAAUGAUAUUACAAUUUAACUUAGUUUAAAAUUUAAAAUUUAAUAUUACAA
RNAcentral lists this long non-coding RNA (1691 nucleotides) under Zostera marina. RNAcentral's name for it is "long non-coding RNA (ZMAR_LNC005784)". Lineage: Eukaryota; Viridiplantae; Streptophyta; Magnoliopsida; Alismatales; Zosteraceae. The record is from RNAcentral.